This 800-nucleotide ribosomal RNA is filed under the name uncultured bacterium. RNAcentral's name for it is "bacterial SSU rRNA". It matches the Rfam family "Bacterial small subunit ribosomal RNA", at positions 12 to 792 of the family's 1533-position model. The record is from RNAcentral.
UUUGAUCAUGGCUCAGGACGAACGCUGGCGGCGUGCCUAAUACAUGCAAGUCGAGCGGACGAAUCGAAAGCUUGCUUUUGAUUCGUUAGCGGCGGACGGGUGAGUAACACGUGGGCAACCUGCCCUGUAGACGGGGAUAACACCGAGAAAUCGGUGCUAAUACCGGAUAACACGAAAUGUCGCAUGACGUUUCGUUGAAAGACGGCGCAAGCUGUCGCUACAGGAUGGGCCCGCGGCGCAUUAGCUAGUUGGUGAGGUAACGGCUCACCAAGGCGACGAUGCGUAGCCGACCUGAGAGGGUGAUCGGCCACACUGGGACUGAGACACGGCCCAGACUCCUACGGGAGGCAGCAGUAGGGAAUCUUCCGCAAUGGACGAAAGUCUGACGGAGCAACGCCGCGUGAGCGAAGAAGGCCUUUCGGGUCGUAAAGCUCUGUUGUUAGGGAAGAACAAGUAACGCAGUAACUGGCGUUAUCGUGACGGUACCUAACGAGAAAGCCACGGCUAACUACGUGCCAGCAGCCGCGGUAAUACGUAGGUGGCAAGCGUUGUCCGGGAAUUAUUGGGGCGUAAAGCGCGCGCAGGCGGUUCCUUAAGUCUGAUGUGAAAGCCCACGGCUCAACCGUGGAGGGUCAUUGGAAACUGGGGACUUGAGUGCAGAAGAGGAGAGCGGAAUUCCACGUGUAGCGGUGAAAUGCGUAGAGAUGUGGGAGGAACACCAGUGGCGAAGCGGCUCUCUGGUCUGUAACUGACGCUGAGGCGCGAAAGCUGGGGAGCAAACAGGAUUAGAUACCCUGGAA